GACGAACGUUGGCGGCGUGUCUAAGGCAUGCAAGUCGUGGGAUCGGAACUGACUUCGGUUAGUUUACGGACCGGCAAACGGGUGAGUAGCACACUAGUAACCUACCUUCGAGUCAAGCAUAGCCCAGAGAAAUCUGGAUUAAUACUUGAUAGUCAUGAGGGGUCAUAUGACAUUCUCAUGUAAAGAUUUAUCGCUCGAAGAGGGGCUUAUGGCCUAUCAGCUUGUUGGUGCGGUAAAAGCGCACCAAGGCUAUGACGGGUAGCAGGCGUGAGAGCGUGACCUGCCUCACUGGGACUGAGACACUGCCCAG
RNAcentral lists this ribosomal RNA (310 nucleotides) under uncultured bacterium. RNAcentral's name for it is "bacterial SSU rRNA". It matches the Rfam family "Bacterial small subunit ribosomal RNA", at positions 28 to 334 of the family's 1533-position model. The record is from RNAcentral.